This is a non-coding RNA of Cricetulus griseus (Chinese hamster), 4968 nucleotides long. NCBI's taxonomy places the organism in Eukaryota, Metazoa, Chordata, Mammalia, Rodentia, Cricetidae. The record is from RefSeq and is a predicted model, not a curated record.
GUAUGCCCCGGCCUCAGCUGAACCACCGCGCAGGGAAGUCGCAACAAGUGACCCGGCAGGGCAAGGCUGUGAAGGGCAGCUGGGCCUCCGUCUGUUGGGACGAAGAGGCCGAGAGCAAACAUGAUAGGCCAGGAACAUUUGAAAGCCAUGGUUGUGGUGGAAGUGUGCAGGAGAGCUUGAACAUGGCUAAAGGAGGCAGAACGCAAGCAUUUUCUGAGAUGCAAUGGACUACCUUCACAAGUUGAGCUGUAAUGGAAGGAGCAGGUAAUGAGAGCUGGGGACAUCAGGGAAAGCUCAACUGGAAGAGAGCAUUUUACCUGGCCUCAACUUGAUGGGGCAGUAGCCAGGCAAAAGAUACCCCCAAUGAAAGAACAGAAUGUAAGAAGGCAUGAGCCUACAGACCACAGUGGAGAACCAAAGUGCAACAGACAUGAGAAAGCUGGCACCAGAUGGAGAAAAAGGCUUUGAUCGUCCUGCCAACAGUUCAUGAUGAUGACAUCAGGCCAGGAACGUAGGUGAUGCAAUUAAUUGUCAAAGAUGGUGACGAUGAUGAUGCCAAUGUAUGUGUGAUGCUACCCAUGGACCCCCAGGCUUCUGAAUACUAAGCAGGCCUUCUGCUACUAAACUACAGCCCCAGCCUGCACCUAGUUCUUUGAAUUGAAAUGGUUGACAUCAAUAAGACCCAAGCCCCUGAGAGGGUAGGAGAGGCUAUUGUUUCUUCCCAACUUACCCUAUUCUGCUAAUGGUGGAUGCUCAGAAAAGCCAGACACAACUUAAUUCUCUGUCAUCCUGGCUUUCCUAAUAAUUCUUGUUUGGAAGUCCAGCUGGUGAGACAAAGGAGCAUGGUGUGGACAGAGGGGAUAGAGAGUGUACUUGCAUUGUAUCUUACCACUCCCCCCCCCCCCCAAGCGCAUUCUCCAGGCCCACAAGCACUGAUUUCUGGUAGAACCACAGGCAUCAGAGUUCACACUCUGCAUAUGAGUGAGUAAGGGAGCUGAUAGCUCCCAGACGCUGUGCUUUCCAGUAAAACCAGAACUUGAAACACAAGCCAUGCACUCUGAGAUUCACAAGACUGAAAUGUGGCAACAUGGCCACUCUUGCUUUGUUUCCUGUGCUAGCACCUGUCCUGAGGACACUUCUAACCAGUCCCUCUUUACGCUUCGGAGAUUCUUGGUAGAAUGUGUGUUAUCAAGAGGCAAAACAAUAAGGUCGAGUAAGUUUUAUGCAGAUUUCUGGCUUCCCUGGUCAGAAUGAAACAAAAAUGUUUGAGCCCUGAGACAGAAACUGGGACACUUUGGUGGGUACAUGCAAAAGUUAAGUGUUUGUGGUUACAUGUAACCUUUUUCUUCAGCAUCAUAUUAACAAAUUGAAACAAAAGGAAGACUUUUAUGUUGAGUACAUUUAGCAGCAUUUCUUUUUCUUUUGAUUACAAGCAUUGACUACCACAUCCAGUUUAGUGUCUCUUUUUAUGCUUUCUGAACAGCGGGCUUCAGAAAUUACCAGCAUUGCUAGGAAACCACUGCCCAUGGCAUCUUCCCAGCCUCUAAAGGAGGUGGAUCAAAGAAAGACUCCCCACUUACUGGCACUCCCCUUACUUCCUGAGCAAGCCGGAAGAGACUAGCUCUGUUCUCUCUGGAGGAUCCAAGGCUGCCUAUAAGCCAGCUGCCACACUUGAGGCACACUCCCUGUAGUGACCACACUUGAGACACACUCCCUGUAGUGACCAUAAUUGGACUUCAUUAUUCCAGGAGUUAGGUGGGAAAGAAAACAAAUUGGUAUUUAUAACAUGGUGUCUGUGGGGGACACAAAUUAGAAAUCAACUUUUUGUUUGUUUUGUUUUGUUUUUUGUUUUUCCAGACAGGGUUUCUCUGUGACUUUGGAGGCUGUCCUGGAACUAGCUCUUGUAGACCAGGCUGGUCUCGAACUCACAGAGAUCCACCUGCCUCUGCCUCCCGAGUGCUGGGAUUAAAGGUGUGCACCACCAACUCUUAAGAACCCAUUACAGUAACAGACAAGGACUGUCUUCCAAGUUCAGAAAUACCAGCACUGUCAAAAAGGAUUCAAAACUGGGGCAGAUACAUGUUAACACAAAGUUCUGUUUGUUUGUUUGUUUUUGUUUUUUUCGAGGCAGGGUUUCUCUGUGUAGCUUUGGAGCCUAUCCUGGCACUCGCUCUGGAGACCAGGCUGGCCUCAAACUCACAGAGAUCCGCCUGCCUCUGCCUCUCGAGUGCUGGGAUUAAAGGCAUGCACCAUCAACGCCCGGCUAACACAAAGUUCUUAACAGUGAUAACUUCACUCUAUCCCCUGGGAAGAGUCCAGCCCUCUGGAGUUGCAGCUUAAAGAACCUGCUGCGCCCUAUGUGGACAGUCUCUGGAGACCAGUACUGGCAAGGCCGUGUUUGACUAAACAGAUGGUAAUCCAUUAAGAACACAGAAAUGACUGUGCUGAGUGGAACCCAAGAUUCAGCCUGUCUGGUAUUCUCUGGCUGUGUGCAUAAAACUUCAGGUUUGACUCACUGACGCUGGUGUUGGCUGUAGUAGUCAUUUGGAAAGAGGCUGCCGUGUGGCUUCAGCGAACAGUCAACUCUAACUCAGGUUCUCUUCUUGGAACAAAGCAUGGCUUCCAGCUCAUCUGGUGCUCACUUCAUACUAACGGCCUAAAAGAAUUGUUCCAAACAGUGCAAAAUGGAACUUAUUUGCCAUCCUCCUGCCCACUCACAUGGCUUGUGCAAUGUACCUUUCUUCAUCUGCUUAGAGUUUAUUAUUGUGCUGAGAGCUGCAGGACAUUUUCAGCCCAGUGACUUCUCCUCAUUUUCAGUCUCUGAGAGUCCCAUGCCCUCCAGCAGCAGUGAUUCGUGAGAGCUCCCCUCAGGAAGCACCAGGAGCGGCUGGUAUCCAUCUGGUGUCCUGAUACCAACAGCAGUCACCAGGCCUGGGGAUUGGCUCCACUUCUGCCCCUUAGCUGUUUGACUCCAGGCAAGUAAUUUCAUCUCAGGACAGUAGAAAAGAGCACCAUCUCUCUUCUCCUGCAGAGCCAUUCUGAGGGCUUCAUAAAGGUGUUCAAGUCUCCAACCGGUCUAUUCUCCCCACAUGGCUUCCUGAAGUUGGCCUGGUCUCCCUCCACUCGCUGCAUUCAUUCGACAGUUACUCUUUGAGUGCCUACUUUAUCUGAGGCCGAACAUUUUCCCAGAGCUGGGGAUUCAGUUCUGUGGCCUAGCACCUGCCCAACAUACAUGUGGUCUGGGUUGGAUGCCCAACAACAGGAAGGGCAGAUAGAACAACUCUCUCCAAACCUUCUGGGUAACUUAGUUGGGAAGUUGUUGUUUGCAAUGCAUGUCUAAUGCAUCAGUUGAUAGAGACAGUUUUAAAGCAUGGAAUGCGUUGUUUUGCACUUAAUUACUUCUCAAAGGCAUGAUGAAAUAGUGAGGCCUGACACAUGCCCAAGCACAUCGCUCAGGGACAAAGGGCCAAGCAGUUACCUGUAUCUCUCCCUGGAAAGAAGCUAUGCUUUCUGCUCCCCGGGAAGCAAGUAUGCCUUCUACUUUCGGCCAGGAGAGGUAGAAGAAAGGUCAGGACAGAUAGGGCUAAGAAGACCAGGAGAAGUGCACAACGGUGAUACCAAGGUGGCUGGUAACUUUGCCAUCCCCAGCAUCCAGUACCAUCACACAUAUGUUCAUUUAUACAAAAGCAGCAUUCAUGCUCCAUAGUUUAGCCUGGGGUCAGUUCAAGCAAAGAAAAAUUUCUUCUAAGCUUAGAAGCCUUUGUUGAAGGAUUACAGAUUGCACUUCUGAAGCAAAGACAGAAGGCUAAAUAUCCUUGGGGGGAAACAGAAAGGAAACAUUUAAAAAAUGACUUAGCCAGACAGCAAGACAUGCAAGAAUGAGAAAGAAGAAAAUAAAUGGCUCCUUCCUGCCUCCCUCUGUGACUCAGAGAUAACCCCUAAAAAUAGUCACCGUCCCAGUGUGGGGAAGCUGAGGAAGACUCAUCUUUGAAAGUUAGAUGAUGGCUGAGGAAGGGAAGGAACAAAAGGAAGGAGGUGGGAACUAGAUUUGAUUUUUUUUUUUUUUUUUUUUUUUUUUUUGCCAGCAGAGGGGUGGUGGUGUUUUUUGAGACAGGACCUCAGUAUGUGACCUAGACUAGUCUCAAACUUCAGCUCUUCCUGCCUUACCUCAAUGCAGGGAUUACACUGUACACCGGCACCCCUGGCUGGGAAACAGCAACUGUGCGUGCCAAACAAGGGUGCUCCCACCCAUCUGUACCCCCAGCCUUCUUUUUAAACAGAUUUUCUAAUAAGUUGCCCAGGCUAGCCUUGAACUUGUGACUACCCCUUCUUCAGCCUCCAAAGUAAAUGAGAUUCCAGGCCUGAGUCUCUUGGGCCAGUGGAAACAGUGUUUGUGGUGCAGGGGACGAAUCCUGACUUCUCUCAUGAUUGGCAAGAGCUCUUACCGCUGAGCUCUGCAUCAGCUCAGGGCCAGUAAUACAGUGUGGAAAUUUAAAAGACUAACAUACUCCAAGGCAAGGCACAACUGAUGGUCCAUCUAGUGAAAUCAGUGUUCCUACUCUUACCCCACUAUUUGUUUAAAUAUGGGCAGUGGCCAGAAAAGGGUGUUGAAUCCUUUGGAACUGAGGUUAUUGACAGUUGUGAGCCACCAUAUGGGUGCAGGAAAUCUAUGCUGACUGGUUUUAUGUCAACUUGACUCAAGCUAGUCACUGGAGAGGAGGGAGCCUCAAUUGAGAAAAUGCCUCAGUAAAAUUGGGCUAUAGGCAGGCCUUAGGGCAUUUCUUAAUUAGCGGUUGAUGGGGGAGGAACCCCUUGUGGGUGGUAUAAUGCUGGGCUAGUGGUCCUAGGUUUUAUAACAGUAGUUCUUAACCUUCCUAAUACGACCCUUUAAUACAGUUCUUCAUGUUGUGGUAACCCCCAGCCAUAAAAUUAUUUUCAUUGCUGCUUCAUAACUGUAAUUUUGCUACA